CAGCCGCCACGGUAACACGUAGGGGGCAAGCGUUGUCCGGAAUCAUUGGGCGUAAAGCGCGCGCAGGCGGUUUUUUAAGUCUGGUGUCUAAGUGCGGGGCUCAACCCCGUGACGCACUGGAAACUGGGAGACUUGAGUGCAGAAGAGGAGAGCGGAAUUCCACGUGUAGCGGUGAAAUGCGUAGAGAUGUGGAGGAACACCAGUGGCGAAGGCGGCUCUCCGGACUGUAACUGACGCUGAGGCGCGGAAGCGUGGGGAGCAAACAGGAUUAGAUACCCCAGUAGUCCCUGUCUCUUAUACA
RNAcentral lists this ribosomal RNA (301 nucleotides) under uncultured bacterium. RNAcentral's name for it is "partial 16S ribosomal RNA". It matches the Rfam family "Bacterial small subunit ribosomal RNA", at positions 509 to 808 of the family's 1533-position model. The record is from RNAcentral.